This 1077-nucleotide ribosomal RNA is filed under the name Triticum aestivum (bread wheat). RNAcentral's name for it is "partial small subunit ribosomal RNA". The record is from RNAcentral. Lineage: Eukaryota; Viridiplantae; Streptophyta; Magnoliopsida; Poales; Poaceae.
AUGGUGGCGAUCGAGGGCCAGAGCCUGGCGGGGACGGCGGCGGCGGCGGCGGGGGGGCUCCCGAAGGAGGCGCGGGGGCUGCUGCACGAGCUGGCGGCGGAGUGGGCGGACGUGGCCGACUGCCGCGCGCUAGAGGUGGUGCCGCUCAAGGGCGCCAUGACCAACGAGGUGUACCAGGUGCGCUGGCUCACCGGCGGCGGCGGCGAGGGGGAGGGCGAGUACAGGAAGGUGCUGAUGCGGGUGUACGGGGAGGGCGUGGAGGUCUUCUUCGACCGGGAGGACGAGGUGCGCACGUUCGAGUGCAUGUCCCGCCACGGCCACGGCCCGCGCCUCCUCGGCCGUUUCCCCACCGGCCGCGUCGAGGAGUUCAUCCACGCCAGGACACUUUCAGCUGUUGACCUGCGUGAUCCAGAGAUUUCAGCUAUUAUAGCAUCCAAAUUGAGGGAGUUCCACCACCUUGACAUGCCAGGUCCAAAACGUGUCCUCAUGUGGGAUAGAUUGAGGAACUGGCUCAAAACUGCCAAGAGCGUCUGCCCCUCUGACGAAGCCAAAGAGUUCCGUUUGGAUAGCCUGGAGAAGGAGAUCGCUGCAUUGGAGAGUGAAUUUUCGGGGGAAGAACAGUGCAUAGGAUUUUGCCACAAUGAUCUCCAGUAUGGCAAUAUCAUGAUUGAUGAAGAGACCAAAGCACUGACCAUCAUUGACUACGAGUAUGCAAGCUUUAACCCAAUUGCUUUUGAUAUCGCAAACCAUUUCUGCGAGAUGGCUGCGGACUACCAUUCAGAAGAGCCUCAUAUACUGGACUAUACAAAAUAUGCAGAUGUCGAUGAGCGGAAGAGGUUUGUGCAGACCUACCUGAGCUCUUCAGGUGAGGAGCCUGACGCAGAAAAGAUCAAGGAUCUGAUGAAUAACAUUGAGAAGUACACACUCGCCAGCCAUCUCGUCUGGGGCCUCUGGGGAAUAAUUUCGGAACACGUCAACGAUAUCGACUUCGAUUACAUGGAGUAUGCGCGGCAGAGGCUUGCGCAAUACUGGCUGAAGAAACCCGAGAUCCUAUCCUGCCGUGUCGAUGAUGAAUGA